CAGAGUUAUUAAUACUGCAAACGAAUGCUGAAUUGAUGAUCAGCAAUACCACAUAUUGCUUUCCACGAGUUUUUCUCCACCAUUUCUGGGCUGGUGUUGUGAAGCGCUGGAGCCGUAGGCAGGAGGCCCUGGGGCUCUGGUCAGCCAUCUCUCCAGUGUCAGGGAAGAGAGGGCAGAUGGAGAGCAGGCCGGGCCAAGGCAGCCAAGGGCGUGUGCAGGGCAGCGGCAGCCAGGAAGAGAGACUAUACAGUCAGUAUUACUCCUGCUAAAUACCCAGAGGGACCACAACCAACUUUCCUGGUCUGUGUUCCAUUAUACAAAAGAGGACUACAAAGAAAAGGACUGUGGAAAUAAAUGCAUACUCUUCUUUUGAAAUUCGUGAGGAAUGUUCAUGAUUUUUAACCAUAAGACAGCAAAAUGGGAUAAGGUGAUAAACAAUGCAAACGGUACUGUAACUGUUAAAGAAAAAAAGGAAGAAAUGCAAAGAAAAAAGAAAGUCAUCACUAGGAAUCUUAAAUUCUGAAAAAAAGAGUUCAAAAAGAUCUAAUGGGGAGAAGAGAACUUUCCAACUGUUGUCAUCCUGCUAUUGUAACCUGAGCCCCUCCCAAGUUUUCAGACUCCAAAAUCAGAUCUAAUUAAAAGAAAAUGGAAAAGGACUUGGAGCCUUUUCAGCUCUGGAUAACAUGCAGACAAAUAAAUUAAAAAGGGGGAGAAGUGGAACUAACCCAAUAAUCCGUGAAAAGCUCAUUUCCCUCCCGGCCGCCACUGAUGCAACACUGUCCUUCCUCCCUCCCAUCCUCUGGUUCAGGGGCAGUGAGUGGAGAAAUUGGCUAACAAGAUCAGAAAAUUUAAUUACAGCUCUGCCGUCCCCUUCCGAGAAGUUGGCUGUCACACUUCCCUUUUGCAGAUCGUCGUCUGAAUGUGCUGUCUCUGAUGAGCUUCCCCUCCGCCCCAGUCUCACUCAUCUCCCGACAUCGGCUCGGGACGGUGGACACAGACACUUUAAUUUGGGGGUUUAGAAGGAUUAGAUAUGAAGAUUAAAAGGAGCAGUUGGAGAAGAGAAUGUCGUUAUCCUCUCAUUUCCUUUGGUCUGCCUGAGCAACUUUGCCCAGUCUUAUCCCAAGAGAAGUACUGUGGGAGCCCCAAAGGCUUAGCAUCCUCGCAUUCCAGACCUAAAGAAGCCCUGAGACCCUGUAGAAGGAGCAGACACACCUGCAUUCAAGUGUCUGUUUUGCAUGCUGACUCAGAGAUACAGGAACGGCUUCCUUGAGCAGUGUUUCUAGCAAGAUUCUGAAAUGCUUUGGGCUCAAAACAAACACACGAACAAAAGAAUAAUGUGGUCCAUUAAUGAUUUCUUCCAGGGGGGUAGAAUGCAGAAUGGUGUCAAAAGAACCAAGUGUUUGCCAUUUCUGUUCUAGGGCAGCCAGAGGUUUAUGUCCAAAUCCAGUGUGCAAACCACUGGAGAGUGACAUGGAACAGGUGUCUUCAAAAUUCAAAGUUUAGCCAAUUAAAAAAAGGACUCUUGGUUUGCUUCUCUGUCACUAGGCAAAGCAAGGUAGUCAGACAAACUGUGCAGAGGUUCCCGGCCUUCACGUGACUGAGAUGCUAUUUCUCUUCACAGAAUGUAGUCGGCCCCUAUGUCCUCAGACCACCACAGGUCUCCUCCUAGAUUAGGGCAAGAGACAUAAGCCCAGAAAAGUGACUGUGGUAAUAAGGGGCAGUCUCCUGCUAGUGUGUCAGGGAUCCUUAACUUGGCCCGGUCAAUGCUGCUGGGAAGACAGUGCAGCAGGAGGAAGAGGAGCCAGCCAAGGAAAGACAG
Molecule: long non-coding RNA, 1819 nt
Filed under: Equus caballus (horse)
Lineage: Eukaryota; Metazoa; Chordata; Mammalia; Perissodactyla; Equidae
Description: lncRNA (ENSECAG00000056632.1)
Source: RNAcentral